RNAcentral lists this ribosomal RNA (465 nucleotides) under uncultured bacterium. RNAcentral describes it as "partial 16S ribosomal RNA". It matches the Rfam family "Bacterial small subunit ribosomal RNA", at positions 28 to 507 of the family's 1533-position model. The record is from RNAcentral.
GACGAACGCUGGCGGCGUGCUUAACACAUGCAAGUCGAACGGAAAGGCCCUGCUUGCAGGGUACUCGAGUGGCGAACGGGUGAGUAACACGUGGGUGAUCUGCCCUGCACUUCGGGAUAAGCCUGGGAAACUGGGUCUAAUACCGGAUAGGAGCCAUUUUUAGUGUGAUGGUUGGAAAGUUUUUUCGGUGUAGGAUGAGCUCGCGGCCUAUCAGCUUGUUGGUGGGGUAAUGGCCUACCAAGGCGGCGACGGGUAGCCGGCCUGAGAGGGUGGACGGCCAUAUUGGGACUGAGAUACGGCCCAGACUCCUACGGGAGGCAGAAGUGGGGAAUAUUGCACAAUGGGCGCAAGCCUGAUGCAGCGACGCCGCGUGGGGGAUGACGGCCUUCGGGUUGUAAACUCCUUUCGCUAGGGACGAAGCUUUUUGUGACGGUACCUAGAUAAGAAGCACCGGCUAACUACGUG